UACGGAGGGUGCAAGCGUUAUCCGGAUUCACUGGGUUUAAAGGGUGCGUAGGCGGGUUGGUAAGUCCGUGGUGAAAUCUCCAAGCUUAACUUAGAAACUGCCGUGGAUACUAUCAAUCUUGAAUAUCGUGGAGGUAAGCGGAAUAUGUCAUGUAGCGGUGGAAUGCUUAGAUAUGACAUAGAACACCAAUUGCGUAGGCAGCUUACUACACGAUCAUUGACGCUGAGGCACGAAAGCGUGGGGGGCAAACAGG
RNAcentral lists this unclassified non-coding RNA (253 nucleotides) under uncultured Chitinophagaceae bacterium. Its description in RNAcentral is "contains 16S-23S intergenic spacer region". It matches the Rfam family "Bacterial small subunit ribosomal RNA", at positions 524 to 776 of the family's 1533-position model. Lineage: Bacteria; Pseudomonadati; Bacteroidota; Chitinophagia; Chitinophagales; Chitinophagaceae. The record is from RNAcentral.